Felis catus (domestic cat) is the source of this 359-nucleotide long non-coding RNA. RefSeq lists it as uncharacterized. The record is from RefSeq and is a predicted model, not a curated record. NCBI's taxonomy places the organism in Eukaryota, Metazoa, Chordata, Mammalia, Carnivora, Felidae. The transcript has 2 exons.
AUUUGGCUUCCUCUGCUAUUAAAUCCUACGUAUACCCAGGAGUUACACUGAUGUACUUACAUAUUGUUUCUGCGUUGAGAUCGCCUAAUGAGGCAAUUAGUAGAGCUCCUCAGACAGCUGGACCAAACACUUUUCGGCAGAGAGGAAAGGUCCACUCAAGCAACAGUGCAAAGUGCCUACACUCACUGCCCACUUCUAUUUGGCAGUGUGGCUUAGACAAGGGGAGACUGGCAAAGGCAACAGAGGUGUUAAAGUCAUGCCAGCCCCAGACAAGAGACUUUUUCCUUGAAUUACUUUAUCCAUCAUUAAGGAUUGAGGAUUGAAAGAGAUUUGAAAAUAAAAUUGUUUUUAUAUUUCCA